UGGGGAAUAUUGCACAAUGGAGGGAACUCUGAUGCAGCGACGCCGCGUGAGUGAAGAAGUAUUUCGGUAUGUAAAGCUCUAUCAGCAGGGAAGAAGAUGACGGUACCUGAAUAAGAAGCCCCGGCUAACUACGUGCCAGCAGCCGCGGUAAUACGUAGGGGGCAAGCGUUAUCCGGAUUUACUGGGUGUAAAGGGAGCGCAGACGGCUGUGCAAGUCUGAAGUGAAAGCCCGCGGCUCAACUGCGGGAUUGCUUUGGAAACUGUGCGGCUUGAGUAUCGGAGAGGUAAGCGGAAUUCCAAGUGUAGCGGUGAAAUGCGUAGAUAUUUGGAGGAACACCGGUGGCGAAGGCGGCUUACUGGACGGAAACUGACGUUGAGGCUCGAAGGCGUGGGGAGCAAACAGG
RNAcentral lists this ribosomal RNA (404 nucleotides) under Verrucomicrobiota bacterium. RNAcentral's name for it is "Verrucomicrobia bacterium partial 16S ribosomal RNA". It matches the Rfam family "Bacterial small subunit ribosomal RNA", at positions 355 to 776 of the family's 1533-position model. The record is from RNAcentral. Lineage: Bacteria; Pseudomonadati; Verrucomicrobiota.